AGUGAACGCUGGCGGUAGGCCUAACACAUGCAAGUCGAACGGCAGCACAGUAAGAGCUUGCUCUUACGGGUGGCGAGUGGCGGACGGGUGAGGAAUACAUCGGAAUCUACUUUUUCGUGGGGGAUAACGUAGGGAAACUUACGCUACUACCGCAUACGACCUACGGGUGAAAGCAGGGGAUCUUCGGACCUUGCUCGAUUGAAUGAGCCGAUGUCGGAUUAGCUAGUUGGCGGGGUAAAGGCCCACCAAGGCGACGAUCCGUAGCUGGUCUGAGAGGAUGAUCAGCCACACUGGAACUGAGACACGGUCCAGACUCCUACGGGAGGCAGCAGUGGGGAAUAUUGGACAAUGGGCGCAAGCCUGAUCCAGCAAUACCGCGUGGGUGAAGAAGGCCUUCGGGUUGUAAAGCCCUGUUGUUGGGAAAGAAAAGCAGCAGGUUAAUACCCCGCUGUUCUGACGGUACCCAAAGAAUAAGCACCGGCUAACUUCGUG
This 492-nucleotide ribosomal RNA is filed under the name uncultured bacterium. RNAcentral's name for it is "partial 16S ribosomal RNA". It matches the Rfam family "Bacterial small subunit ribosomal RNA", at positions 29 to 507 of the family's 1533-position model. The record is from RNAcentral.